UUUUUGCUUUGCUGCAGGAGCGGCGGAGGCUGCAAGAGCGCAUCCUAGCCACCCGGCGGGAACUGGAGGAAGAGAGACUGCGAGUCCAACGCCUCAAGAGGAAAUCCCUGCGUGAACGGUGGUUGAUGGAGGGAACAUCAAUGCCUGCUGAUGACAAGGAUCACAUGUCUUCUCUUUGGAAAGCAGAGUCUCGCGUCCAAGACUUAGAACAAGAUCUGUCCAGUCUUCAGUCUCAAAUGCAGGACCUAGAUAAUAUGGACCUUCCCGAAGGACAGCAGCAGCAGCCUCUGAAGGAGGUGAAGCCAUUGGAUGGCAUUGUGAAGGUACUUAUUAUUA
RNAcentral lists this long non-coding RNA (336 nucleotides) under Notechis scutatus (mainland tiger snake). RNAcentral describes it as "lncRNA (ENSNSUG00000013318.1)". Lineage: Eukaryota; Metazoa; Chordata; Lepidosauria; Squamata; Elapidae. The record is from RNAcentral.